CGAACGAUGAACCACUUCGGUGGGGAUUAGUGGCGAACGGGUGAGUAACACGUGGGCAAUCUGCCCUGCACUCUGGGACAAGCCCUGGAAACGGGGUCUAAUACCGGAUAUUGACCUUCACGGGCAUCUGUGAGGUUCGAAAGCUCCGGCGGUGCAGGAUGAGCCCGCGGCCUAUCAGCUUGUUGGUGAGGUAAUGGCUCACCAAGGCGACGACGGGUAGCCGGCCUGAGAGGGCGACCGGCCACACUGGGACUGAGACACGGCCCAGACUCCUACGGGAGGCAGCAGUGGGGAAUAUUGCACAAUGGGCGAAAGCCUGAUGCAGCGACGCCGCGUGAGGGAUGACGGCCUUCGGGUUGUAAACCUCUUUCAGCAGGGAAGAAGCGAAAGUGACGGUACCUGCAGAAGAAGCGCCGGCUAACUACGUGCCAGCAGCCGCGGUAAUACGUAGGGCGCAAGCGUUGUCCGGAAUUAUUGGGCGUAAAGAGCUCGUAGGCGGCUUGUCACGUCGGUUGUGAAAGCCCGGGGCUUAACCCCGGGUCUGCAGUCGAUACGGGCAGGCUAGAGUUCGGUAGGGGAGAUCGGAAUUCCUGGUGUAGCGGUGAAAUGCGCAGAUAUCAGGAGGAACACCGGGUGGCGAAGGCGGAUCUCUGGGCCGAUACUGACGCUGAGGAGCGAAAGCGUGGGGAGCGAACAGGAUUA
Molecule: ribosomal RNA, 702 nt
Filed under: Streptomyces sp. DBT2
Lineage: Bacteria; Bacillati; Actinomycetota; Actinomycetes; Kitasatosporales; Streptomycetaceae
Description: bacterial SSU rRNA
Rfam family: Bacterial small subunit ribosomal RNA
Source: RNAcentral